AGAAUCAACGCUGGCGGCGUGCCUAACACAUGCAAGUCGAACGAGAAAGUGGAGCAAUCCAUGAGUAAAGUGGCGACCGGGUGAGUAACACGUGACUAACCUACCCUCGAGUGGGGAAUAACUCCGGGAAACCGGGGCUAAUACCGCAUAACAUCUUCGGAACGCGAGUUCUGUUGAUCAAAGGAGCAAUUCGCUUGAGGAGGGAGUCGCGGCUGAUUAGCUAGUUGGCGGGGUAAUGGCCCACCAAGGCUUAGAUCGGUAGCCGGCCUGAGAGGGGCGCGACGGACCGACGACCUGGAACUGAAACACGGUCCAGACUCCUACGGAGGCAGCAGUGGGGAAUUUUGCGCAAUGGGGGAAACCCUGACGCAGCAACGCCGCGUGGAGGAUGAAGUCCCUUGGGAUGUAAACUCCUUUCGACCGGGAAGAUACUGACGGUACCGGUGGAAGAAGCACCGGCUAACUCUGUGCCAGCAGCCGC
This 481-nucleotide ribosomal RNA is filed under the name uncultured bacterium. RNAcentral's name for it is "SSU rRNA". It matches the Rfam family "Bacterial small subunit ribosomal RNA", at positions 26 to 518 of the family's 1533-position model. The record is from RNAcentral.